Molecule: ribosomal RNA, 252 nt
Filed under: uncultured Spiroplasma sp.
Lineage: Bacteria; Bacillati; Mycoplasmatota; Mollicutes; Entomoplasmatales; Spiroplasmataceae
Description: partial 16S ribosomal RNA
Rfam family: Bacterial small subunit ribosomal RNA
Source: RNAcentral
UACAUAGGUGGCAAGCGUUAUCCGGAUUUAUUGGGCGUAAAGAGUGCGUAGACGGUUUUGCAAGUUCGAGGUUAAAUAUGGGAGCUCAACUCCUAUCCGCCUUGGAAACUACAUUACUAGAGUAUAGAAGAGGUUAGUGGAAUUUCAUGUGUAGCGGUGGAAUGCGUAGAUAUAUGAAGGAACAUCAGUGGCGAAAGCGGCUAACUGGUCUAUUACUGACGUUGAUGCACGAAAGCAUGGGGAGCAAAUAGG